GAUGAAUAACGUAGCGAAAUGCGAUAAGUAGUGUGAAUUGCAGAAUUCCGUGAAUCAUCGAAUCUUUGAACGCACAUUGCGCCUCCUGGUAGUCCGGGAGGCAUGCCUGUUCGAGCGUCACCAAAUCCAACUCAAGCGGUUUUGCGCUUGGUCGUGGCGGAAGAGUCGGUCUGGUUGCCGUCUCCCCUCCGAAAAUCAACGGCGGAAAGUCACUGGCAGUCAGCGUAGUAGUAUCGUUCGCCGAACAUCCAGUGGCAUUCCUGCCGACGUACCCCCACAAUUCUCGUGAUUGACCUCGGAUCAGGUAGGGAUACCCGCUGAACUUAAGCAUAUCAAUAAGCGGAGGA
This 347-nucleotide unclassified non-coding RNA is filed under the name soil metagenome. RNAcentral describes it as "partial contains 5.8S ribosomal RNA, internal transcribed spacer 2, and large subunit ribosomal RNA". The stretch from base 1 to 120 matches the Rfam family "5.8S ribosomal RNA", at positions 35 to 154 of the family's 154-position model. The record is from RNAcentral.